Molecule: small nucleolar RNA, 130 nt
Organism: Artibeus jamaicensis (Jamaican fruit-eating bat)
Lineage: Eukaryota; Metazoa; Chordata; Mammalia; Chiroptera; Phyllostomidae
Source: RefSeq, a predicted model, not a curated record
GUUGAGGUCUAUCCCGAUGGGGCUUUUUCCGUAGACCUGCAUCGUUGGAAACGCCUCAUAGAGUAAUAUGUUGCUUCCUUUAUUCACAGAACUAUGUGUUAGAUCUGUGGGAAGGAACUACAAGACAUAG